Molecule: ribosomal RNA, 89 nt
Filed under: Callistachys lanceolata
Lineage: Eukaryota; Viridiplantae; Streptophyta; Magnoliopsida; Fabales; Fabaceae
Source: RNAcentral
GGAUCCCAUCAGAACUCCGCAGUUAAGCGUACUUGGGCGAGAGUAGUACUAGGAUAGGUGACCUCCUGGGAAGUCCUCGUGUUGCACCU